This 695-nucleotide ribosomal RNA is filed under the name uncultured bacterium. Its description in RNAcentral is "bacterial SSU rRNA". It matches the Rfam family "Bacterial small subunit ribosomal RNA", at positions 60 to 744 of the family's 1533-position model. The record is from RNAcentral.
AGUCGAGGGGCAGCGGGGAGGAAGCUUGCUUUCUCCGCCGGCGACCGGCGCACGGGUGAGUAACACGUAUGCAACCUGCCCCUGUCAGGGGGACAACCCGCCGAAAGGCGGGCUAAACCCGCGUACAUGCCACCGGGGCAUCCCGGAGGCAGGAAAGGCUUCGGCCGGACAGGGAUGGGCAUGCGGCGCAUUAGGCAGUAGGCGGGGUAACGGCCCACCUAACCGACGAUGCGUAGGGGUUCUGAGAGGAAGGUCCCCCACACUGGUACUGAGACACGGACCAGACUCCUACGGGAGGCAGCAGUGAGGAAUAUUGGUCAAUGGUCGGGAGACUGAACCAGCCAAGCCGCGUGAGGGAGGAAGGUACAGAGUAUCGUAAACCUCUUUUGUCAGGGAACAAAGGCGGGGACGUGUCCCCGGAUGAGUGUACCUGAAGAAAAAGCAUCGGCUAACUCCGUGCCAGCAGCCGCGGUAAUACGGAGGAUGCGAGCGUUAUCCGGAUUUAUUGGGUUUAAAGGGUGCGCAGGCGGUCUGUUAAGUCAGCGGUCAAAGCCCGGGGCUCAACCCCGGCCCGCCGUUGAAACUGGCAGUCUCGAGUUGGAGAGAAGUAUGCGGAAUGCGCGGUGUAGCGGUGAAAUGCAUAGAUAUCGCGCAGAACUCCGAUUGCGAAGGCAGCAUGCCGGCUCCACACUGAC